AUUCCAUGAUGAGGGCAUUUUUGAAACAGUUCUUUAAAUCUCUGCCACGCCUCAUACAAUGACUUAUCACCCAUCUAUUGGAAAGUAGUGAUUUAAUUCCACAGCUU
Gossypium raimondii (Peruvian cotton) is the source of this 107-nucleotide non-coding RNA. NCBI's taxonomy places the organism in Eukaryota, Viridiplantae, Streptophyta, Magnoliopsida, Malvales, Malvaceae. The record is from Rfam.